RNAcentral lists this ribosomal RNA (1385 nucleotides) under uncultured bacterium. RNAcentral's name for it is "bacterial SSU rRNA". It matches the Rfam family "Bacterial small subunit ribosomal RNA", at positions 38 to 1398 of the family's 1533-position model. The record is from RNAcentral.
GGCGGCGCGCUCAACACACGCAAGUUCGAACGGCGAAGCGCUCUAUCUUUUCAGCGGGCGCGAGACGAGCGGCGAAACGGGCGAGUAACACGCGAGUAACCCGCCCCCUUCUUCCGGAUAACCGCACGAAAGCGCGGCUAAUACGGGAUAUUCUGGGUCUGUCGCAUGACGGGUCUGGGAAAGAUAUUGUUUCGGUGGGGGAUGGGCUCGCGGCCUAUCAGCUUGUUGGUGGGGUGAUGGCCUACCAAGGCGGUGACGGGUAGCCGGCCUGAGAGGGUGGACGGUCACACUGGGACUGAGACACGGCCCAGACUCCUACGGGAGGCAGCAGUGGGGAAUAUUGCACAAUGGGCGCAAGCCUGAUGCAGCGACGCCGCGUGAGGGAUGGAGGCCUUCGGGUUGUGAACCUCUUUCGCCAGUGAAGCAGGCCUGCCCCUGGUGGGUGGGUUGACGGUAGCUGGAUAAGAAGCGCCGGCUAACUACGUGCCAGCAGCCGCGGUAAUACGUAGGGCGCGAGCGUUGUCCGGAAUUAUUGGGCGUAAAGAGCUCGUAGGCGGCUGGUCGCGUCUGUCGUGAAAUCCUCUGGCUUAACUGGGGGCUUGCGGUGGGUACGGGCCGGCUUGAGUGCGGUAGGGGAGGCUGGAACUCCUGGUGUAGCGGUGGAAUGCGCAGAUAUCAGGAAGAACACCGGUGGCGAAGGCGGGUCUCUGGGCCGUUACUGACGCUGAGGAGCGAAAGCGUGGGGAGCGAACAGGAUUAGAUACCCUGGUAGUCCACGCCGUAAACGUUGGGCACUAGGUGUGGGGGGGCCUUUUCCGGGUUUUCCGCGCCGUAGCUAACGCAUUAAGUGCCCCGCCUGGGGAGUACGGCCGCAAGGCUAAAACUCAAAGGAAUUGACGGGGGCCCGCACAAGCGGCGGAGCAUGCGGAUUAAUUCGAUGCAACGCGAAGAACCUUACCAAGGCUUGACAUGUGCCGGUCGGCUCCGGAGACGGGGUUUCCUCCUUGUGGGGCCGGUUCACAGGUGAUGCAUGGUUGUCGUCAGCUCGUGUCGUGAGAUGUUGGGUUAAGUCCCGCAACGAGCGCAACCCUUGUCUCGUGUUGCCAGCACGUUGUGGUGGGGACUCGCGGGAGACUGCCGGGGUCAACUCGGAGGAAGGUGGGGAUGACGUCAAAUCAUCAUGCCCCUUAUGUCUUGGGCUUCACGCAUGCUACAAUGGCCGGUACAGAGGGCUGCGAUACUGUGAGGUGGAGCGAAUCCCUUAAAGCCGGUCUCAGUUCGGAUCGGUGUCUGCAACUCGACACCGUGAAGUUGGAGUCGCUAGUAAUCGCAGAUCAGCAACGCUGCGGUGAAUACGUUCUCGGGCCUUGCACACACCGCCCGUC